Long non-coding RNA from Syngnathoides biaculeatus (alligator pipefish), 2157 nucleotides. RefSeq lists it as uncharacterized. The transcript has 15 exons. NCBI's taxonomy places the organism in Eukaryota, Metazoa, Chordata, Actinopteri, Syngnathiformes, Syngnathidae. The record is from RefSeq and is a predicted model, not a curated record.
CGAAGGGACGCUGUGGUGAUGAAGGCGGUUGGAUCCGAAAGCCACCGGGUGGCGACAUUUUGUCCGUGGAGUGCUUCAUCAACACGAACAUGCUAAGACCUGUCUUUGAAUACGUGAAAUGUCAUUCGAAAAGAAGACGUCACGUGCGGAAAAGGAAGAUGGAACACCGGCGGUGUUAGCGUUGCAAAAGGGUGGCCAUGCAGUUCAUGAUCUGGAUGCCGCCCUGGGGUGUGCUGUCUGGAUCUGGAGAAAAGAAAAGGAAAACAUAAAUUUCUGUGUUUUUGGAGUGGACAUGUGGGGAGUGGUGUGAACAAACCUCCCUUGGAGACAAACUGCGAGGCCACGCCCACUUCAAAGGAGGCGAAUACUGUGUUGAGUCAAGUCUAGCUGGACGUGCAAGGAUCAUUUGAAGCGCUGGUUCCUGCUCUGCACUGGCCUCCUCUCUUGCAUGUACAUGUUGACGUAGGAGGUGAUGAGGUCAUCCAUCUUGUAGCCCUUUUGGAAAUAGACCACACAGCACGUGAAUCAGAUGAGAUGGACUCGUACAAUGCAAAAGAUCCCCAAAAGUCCCCAAACCUGAUGACACAGCACUGGCUCCUGCGGUUGCGGCGCAUUUUGAAAAAGCAGCUGUCGGCGAUGGCGAAGACGUGCGGCGGUAGCUCGCCCAGCCGCCGGUCGGUGUACUGGUGCACGUGAUCGGCCGUGUAGAGCGGAAGCAGCUGGUAGGGGUUCACCGCCACCAGGAUGGAGCCCGUGUACGUCUGAAAGCACACGCGAUGUCGCUUUGAGCCUUCAGGGCCACCGUACUGCGAGAGGUCGAUCGGUCGACAUGGAGACGAGUCAUAAAAACACCAAGACGGAGGGGGGAGCAAAGUCCAGAGCGGAGAAGAAAGAACAUCCAGCAGGGCGAUUAUGGCCCACCGUAAAAGCUGGGCGGGACGGACUCACGUAGAUGACGCCGUCUUUGUGUCGCAUCAGGAGGUUCCUGAGGAGACCGGCCUCAUUCAGGUCCCCGAGCCGGAUCAUGUCGUCGACGCCGUGCACCGAGGUGGGGUGCAUGGGCCGGAGCCCGCCCUCGACAGACGUCCAAAGUUUGGGAUCAUUUACUCGAAACCAGUACACAACUGCACAUGUACGAUAAACUCUUCCGCAUUCCCAAGCCAGCCGAGAGACAUAGUCUCUCCAUCGUGUCCUGGGGCGUCUUCGGGGUCUCUUUCUGGGAGACAUGCCCAGAACACCUCACCAGGGAGGCGUCCGAAUCAGAUGCCCUAGCCUCCUCAUCUGGCUCCUCUCAAUGCGGAGGAGCAGCGGCUCGACACCGAGCCCCUCCCGGAUGAACCCUACCAACCUCUUUGAGUUAGAACAAAUUGUAAUGCCUCCACUUUAGUGAACAGACGCGAAUCCGACGUCACUCGACAGUCCAGUCCCCGCCUUUCAAAGCCACAGAUACUACAGUGGCUUGUGAAGAAUUGGGAGGACUUUUUUACUCAUCUACAGAGAGAGAGAAAAAAAAAAAGAAAACGUGCGCAGUAUGAGUCAUCAUCAAGCUUAUUGCUCUGACAACAUGUAGGCCGAAGGUAAAUGGAUCAGCAUAUAGAGCUCGUGCACGUGACGUCACCAUUUUCACGGCAGACAUGGAACCUGAGGAGAAUAUUCACAAUACCCGAGACCUACCGUGCUGUUGGUUGUCACAAAAGACGAGACAGAUAUUCAAAGCGGUCAUUCUAUGGAACACCAGCUGAAAAGACCAGAAAAUAUCGCUGGACUUCGGCAAUUAGGCAUGAUGGAUGGUGCCCAACCAAAAUACACACACGCCUGUGGAGUGAUCACUUCACUUCAGGUGCUGCUGAGGUGGCUGCGUUGCGUCCGCGCCCGAUGGGCUGACCCCGCUGUGUGGCGAUUGUGAUGCGGGCCGAGGAUGUGGGAGGGAACCGGAGUGCCCGGAGAAAACCCACGCAGGCACAGGGGAGGACAUGAAAAUUCCACACAGCCGGGCCCGGGAUCGAACCCGGGUCCUCAGAACCGUGCCGCCACAAUUUGGCGUUGAGGCGUUUGGCGAUGCUGGCGGCGAUGCUGUCCCCCAUGCCGAGGAUGUGCGUGUCCAGCUUGUGCAGAAGCUCCUUGGAGUGAAGCCUCUCCUCGUCCAGGAAGCGAGAC